Molecule: ribosomal RNA, 482 nt
Filed under: uncultured bacterium
Lineage: Bacteria
Description: bacterial SSU rRNA
Rfam family: Bacterial small subunit ribosomal RNA
Source: RNAcentral
AUUGAACGCUGGCGGCAUGCCUUACACAUGCAAGUCGAACGGUAACAGGUCUUCGGAUGCUGACGAGUGGCGAACGGGUGAGUAAUACAUCGGAACGUGCCUAGUAGUGGGGGAUAACUACUCGAAAGAGUGGCUAAUACCGCAUGAGAUCUACGGAUGAAAGCAGGGGAUCGCAAGACCUUGUGCUACUAGAGCGGCUGAUGGCAGAUUAGGUAGUUGGUGGGAUAAAAGCUUACCAAGCCGACGAUCUGUAGCUGGUCUGAGAGGACGAUCAGCCACACUGGGACUGAGACACGGCCCAGACUCCUACGGGAGGCAGCAGUGGGGAAUUUUGGACAAUGGGCGCAAGCCUGAUCCAGCAAUGCCGCGUGCAGGAUGAAGGCCUUCGGGUUGUAAACUGCUUUUGUACGGAACGAAAAGCCCUGGGUUAAUACCCUGGGGUCAUGACGGUACCGUAAGAAUAAGCACCGGCUAACUACGUG